UACGGAGGGUGCAAACGUUGCUCGGAAUCAUUGGGCGUAAAGCGCACGUAGGCGGUCUGGUAAGUCGGGUGUGAAAGCCCUCGGCUUAACCGAGGAAGUGCAUUCGAAACUACCAGACUUGAGUACUGAAGAGGGUCGCGGAAUUCCCGGUGUAGAGGUGAAAUUCGUAGAUAUCGGGAGGAACACCAGUGGCGAAGGCGGCGACCUGGGCAGAUACUGACACUGAGGUGCGAAAGCGUGGGGAGCAAACAGG
This 253-nucleotide ribosomal RNA is filed under the name uncultured bacterium. RNAcentral describes it as "partial 16S ribosomal RNA". It matches the Rfam family "Bacterial small subunit ribosomal RNA", at positions 524 to 776 of the family's 1533-position model. The record is from RNAcentral.